RNAcentral lists this ribosomal RNA (491 nucleotides) under uncultured bacterium. RNAcentral describes it as "partial 16S ribosomal RNA". It matches the Rfam family "Bacterial small subunit ribosomal RNA", at positions 30 to 506 of the family's 1533-position model. The record is from RNAcentral.
AUUGAACGCUGGCGGCAUGCUUUACACAUGCAAGUCGAACGGUAACAGGCCUUCGGGUGCUGACGAGUGGCGCACGGGUGAGUAAUGCAUCGGAACGUACCCAGAGGUGGGGGAUAACGCAGCGAAAGCUGUGCUAAUACCGCAUGUGAUCUGAGGAUGAAAGCGGGGGACCGAGCAGCAAUGUUUGGCCUCGCGCCUUUGGAGCGGCCGAUGUCGGAUUAGCUAGUUGGUGGGGUAAAGGCCUACCAAGGCGACGAUCCGUAGCUGGUCUGAGAGGACGACCAGCCACACUGGGACUGAGACACGGCCCAGACUCCUACGGGAGGCAGCAGUGGGGAAUUUUCGACAAUGGGCGCAAGCCUGAUCCAGCAAUGCCGCGUGCGGGAAGAAGGCCUUCGGGUUGUAAACCGCUUUUGGCAGGAACGAAACGGUGUCCGCUAAUACCGGGCGCUAAUGACGGUACCUGCAGAAUAAGCACCGGCUAACUACGU